UACGGGGGGGGCAAGCGUUGUUCGGAAUUACUGGGCGUAAAGGGCUCGUAGGUGGCCAACUAAGUCAGACGUGAAAUCCCUCGGCUUAACCGGGGAACUGCGUCUGAUACUGGAUGGCUCGAGUUUGGGAGAGGGAUGCGGAAUUCCAGGUGUAGCGGUGAAAUGCGUAGAUAUCUGGAGGAACACCGGUGGCGAAGGCGGCAUCCUGGACCAACACUGACGCUGAGGAGCGAAAGCCAGGGGAGCAAACGGG
This 253-nucleotide ribosomal RNA is filed under the name uncultured bacterium. Its description in RNAcentral is "partial 16S ribosomal RNA". It matches the Rfam family "Bacterial small subunit ribosomal RNA", at positions 524 to 776 of the family's 1533-position model. The record is from RNAcentral.